AUGUUCGAGGACGAGCUCGCCAGCCAAGCCGUCGGAGUGAAGCCGAAGCGCAAGAGCAGGCGGACGAAGGCAUACACCGCGGCUGAGGACAAGCUCCUUUGUGAGUGUUGGAGGGACAUUGGGCAAGACCCCAUGGUCGGUGCCGAAUAAAAGGCAUCAACCUUUUGGACUCGUGUCAAUCGUGAGUCCCACGAACGGAAGAAGUUUCCACCGUACCAAAUCCAAAGCAUGCGCAGGUGGGUGUCCAUUUCUAAGCGAUGGAAGGUGAUCCUGUUGGGGAACGUUGCAGAAAAUUAA
This 297-nucleotide ribosomal RNA is filed under the name Triticum aestivum (bread wheat). RNAcentral describes it as "partial small subunit ribosomal RNA". The record is from RNAcentral. Lineage: Eukaryota; Viridiplantae; Streptophyta; Magnoliopsida; Poales; Poaceae.